GACGAACGCUGGCGGCGUGCUUAACACAUGCAAGUCGUACGGUAAGGCCCUUUCUGGGGUGCACGCGUGGCGAACGGGUGGGUAACACGUGCGUAACCUGCCCACCACUUUGGGAUAACGCUAGUAAACUGGUUCUAAUACUGAAUAUGUGCUCCUGCUGCCUGGUGGGGGUUGGAAAGCUCCGGCGGUUGUGGGUGGACUCGCGGCCUACCAGCUUGCUGGUGGGGUAGUGGCCUACCAAGGCGGCGACGGGUAGGCGGCCUGAGAGGGUGACCGGCCACAUUGGGGCUGAGAGACGGCCCAGACUCCUACGGGAGGCAGCAGGGGGGAAUAUUGCACAAUGGGCGCAAGCCUGAUGCAGCAACGCCGCGGGCGGGAGGACGGCCUUCGGGUUGGAAACCGCUUUCAGCAGGGACGAAGCUUUUUGUGACGGUACCUGCAGAAGAAGCACCGGCUAACUACGUG
RNAcentral lists this ribosomal RNA (465 nucleotides) under uncultured bacterium. RNAcentral's name for it is "partial 16S ribosomal RNA". It matches the Rfam family "Bacterial small subunit ribosomal RNA", at positions 28 to 507 of the family's 1533-position model. The record is from RNAcentral.